Long non-coding RNA from Bos taurus (domestic cattle), 1300 nucleotides. NCBI's taxonomy places the organism in Eukaryota, Metazoa, Chordata, Mammalia, Artiodactyla, Bovidae. The record is from Ensembl.
AAAAAAAAGUAACAUAAAAGGAAGAAAAUGUACCUUUUUUAUGGAAUGAGUAGACUGUAUGUUUGAAACUUUUGUCAUAACCUCUUUGACAUAUAACAACCCAACAAAAAGGUGCUGUUUAGUCCUACCGUUCAGUUUAUGCCCCUGAGACGUUUCCAUUGUGUUUGCAAAUUGUCUGGCUAUAGCGGUGUUCUCCAUGUUAUUAGUAAUUCUGUAUUCCAUUUUGUUAACGCCUGGUAGAUAUAACCUGCUAGGAGGCUAACUUUAUACUUAUUUAAAGCUCUUAUUUUGUGGUCAUUAAAAUGGCAACUUAUGUGCAGCACUUUAUUGCAGCAAGAAGCAGGUGUGGAUUGGUUGUACAACCCCUCGCUAUUCUUAAAAAGUCAGGGGUGAUGUAAAAAGAAAAGAAUCUUUGGCUAAACAUGUUAAUGGCUUGUAUUUUUAAGACAACAGAAUUUCCAGUAUGAAACAGGCUAAAAAAGCAGGAAGAAAUGUGCUUUGUAUGAUAAUGGGAAGUUUGGAAUAUAAAGUUUAUAUAUUAUUUAUCUGUGAAGAACUGGUGUACAGGAGGAAUGCUUUCUUACUGCGUUGCUGUUUUCCAUCAUGUGUUACCCUAGAGGUGGGAUUUUUUUUUUCCAUCUGUUUUCAUCCGGAGGGAAAUAAAAGCAUCCCGAAUUUUCUUCCUCUAGUCGGUUUGCUUCCCCGAAAGCUCCCCCUUGUACAAAGUGCAGGAAGCCGGAAGUCUGCACCUUCUGUCCACACACGCUCCUCCCCCACACCCACCCUUCCUCCCCCAGACCUGGCAGGUGUGCCCCGCUCCCCUUGCCAGUCACCCAGCCCUGGCAAGCCUGUUUACACUAAGGAGCUGUCCCCGGGGGCGGGGAGGCCGAGCCAGCGAGGGCGGGAAGCUCCCGCUCCCUGGGUCGUUCUCCAGCAGAGACGCCUGUUCUUGGCCACGUUUGAAAUGUCACUCAGCGUCGCCCUGUCAGUGUUUCAGUCAAAGGCACUGUAGACAGCCUCCACCUGGUGCCGCUGUGACUGCUAAGUGCUCUGCCGACCACGUGUCGGGUGUUUUCUGGAGAAGAGCAAACGGUUUUCUUUUAAAAGGAACGUUCAUUGGAUGGGAAGACAACACGUGCUUUCCAGAGACAUAGGAAAAUGACUGACCUAUGCCCCUCAUCAGACAAAAACAAAAGUGGGAAACUAGAAAGAGUGAAGCAGGUAAGAGGGGAAAGCCAAUCCCAGGACGCUUUGGCAAGACAGUUGCUGCAGUGAAGAACUGGCAUUGAGUCACCGUGGG